UCCACGCCCUAAACGAUGAACACUAGUCGUCGGGAUGCUAGUCAUCUCGGUGAUGCACUUAACAGAUUAAGUGUUCCGCCUGGGGAGUACGGUCGCAAGAUUAAAACUCAAAGGAAUAGACGGGGACCCGCACAAGUGGUGGAGCAUGUGGUUUAAUUCGAAAAUACGCGAAGAACCUUACCUAGCCUUGACAUUGAAGAAAUAGACCAGAGAUGGACUAGUGCCCUUCGGGGAAUCUGAAAACAGGUGCUGCACGGCUGUCGUCAACUCGUGUCGUGAGAUGUUGGGUUAAGUCCCG
RNAcentral lists this ribosomal RNA (298 nucleotides) under uncultured bacterium. RNAcentral's name for it is "partial 16S ribosomal RNA". It matches the Rfam family "Bacterial small subunit ribosomal RNA", at positions 794 to 1089 of the family's 1533-position model. The record is from RNAcentral.